CCUGUUGUUGGGUGACAUCUCGAUGUCUCGGCGCCCAACCUUUAUGCCCCAAGGUCCUUAACCGUUAAGAUAACCUUGUUAAGCAAACCAACCCUUAUGCGUGUAAGUGUCCGACACAAACCCGUCUAGUCAAGGAAAACUAGUGGCACCCUAAUUUCAUAAACCCACCACUAAUUGUAGAAGACAUGGGACGGUGCAAGUUUUAGUUGGGAGGGCAUACUAACUUAAACUUUGUGAGGGAUCGUUCUACUUCUAACAUCACAGCAUGUAGAAUGUAAAACAUAAACAGAAUAGCAUUCACAUAGUUGUGACACAGUAUGGCCCAUUUUCAUAUGGUGAUCUCCAUCUCCAUAGAACCUGUUCACCAUGGUGAUCUCCAUCUCCAUGUUCCAUGUGCGCCAUCCUCCUGGUGAUGAGUCCUCCAAGAACUAGAACAUGCUAUUACGCCUAAUAGCUAGUAAAGAAGCUAGUAAUGAAGAUUACAUAGUUGCUUGGAUCAUCACAGAUUGGUACGCGGACCAUUAAAUACAAUAAAGUGACAACACAUAUGGCUCCUGCCGUGUUGCCGUACGCGCGACACGCAGGUCACGAAUGAGUUACACACAUGCAUCAUAUACACAAAGGGCCAUACUGAUCACAAGAUACAUCAUCCUGCAAAACAAAGUUAAGCGUCCUAACGUUCCAAAAUUCAGAUGCCCAAAACUCUAUCUUCCAAGCCGAAUUUGGGAAAUCUAAUUUCACCAAAAAUGGCAAAGCCAUUGAAUUUCAUGUGUAAAUUUUUCUGUAGAUCAAUUUUUAUAUAAAAUUCACCCCGAUCCGAGAUCGUACCGAAAAGUUACGGCUGAUUUACUGAAGCAUACGCAUACGGCAAAAAUCCCGACCCCGGCUGUAGAUCCCAUCUACUUUUGCACAUCUAAUGCCCCUGGCGUAUGACCCUGGAUUUCGAUUCAACCAAUCAUAUUGAUCUUCGCUCACUGCAACUAGAUUUACGUGUAUCACUUAACUCCGAUGGCGGAAACCGACCGGUAGGAGUAUGUCGUUACACUACCAUUGCAGCAAGAGCACGAAACCAGGACAUAGAUCAAACUGAAAACUCGCAUAUCUCCAUAUGCACACAUCCUGAAUCCAAAACUAAAUAGCUACGGCUCUGAUACCACUGGAGGGAUACGAGGUAGGCUACACUAGCGCAAAUCAAAAUUUCUACCGCGUAAAACCAGGAAGAACUGCCGUAUAAGGAUCACGGGAUUACCACUCGACGCACUACUGGUGCGGAAGAUGUAGAUUUGCGUCGAUGCAGGGAAGACGAUCAACGUAGUCGUACGUAGUUGAUCAACAUAGUCGUACGUAGUCGAUCACGUCAACAUCCAGCAGCUCCUCAGCAGCUCGUCCACGUGCAGCAAGAUCGCCCUCAUGCCGCGGCUCGUCGUGGCUCGGCGGCGGCUCGCCCAAGUGCUGCAGGCACAACACCUCCAAGGUAUCCAUACGUGCAGGGAGGAAGCAUCGCAAGCCGGACUGCUAGAUCCGCGAGUUGCAACAGGCAAGGGCGUGGGAGGCGUGGCAGAUGUGUUUCGCCAAAAGGUGUCAACCCUAGGGCGCCUCCACCCCUCUAUUUAUAGAGGUUCCUGACGGGCCUCUGGGUCCGAGGCCCAUUAGUACUUCUAAACCUAAUCCAACUCGGAUCUGAUCCGAAUUGGGCUUCCAGCCCCUUAAGUGUGUGACCCUAUGGGUUCGGAUACGCAUAGACAUGGCCCGAGUACUCCUACUCGGCCCAAUAAUCGGUAGCGGCCUCUAGCAAGACGUGCCAACUCCUAUACGCACACGAAGAUCAUAUCAUAUGAACCAUCACAACAUAAUAUACAUGCUAUUCCCUUUGCCUCACGAUAUUUGGUCUAGCUUCAAGCCGACCGCUCUUUCUCGAUCCUGUGAUUCGGAAUCCCUUUGUAGGUUAACUCUUAACCGUACGUAGCAUGGCCAUGCAUUUUCGGAUCCGAUCACUCGAGGGGCCCAGAGAUAUCACUCUCAAUCAGAGAGGGGCAAAUCCCAUCUUGAUUGACCAUGUCUCAUAGCAUGCUUCUUGACAAACCUGAAAGCUACCUUUGUAACUACCCUGUUACGGCGUAGUGUUUGAUAGCUCCUAAGUAGGUCGAUCCACAUCUCGAAUACAUGCGACAAUCUCAGGUCCAAGGACAAAGCGUAUAUGUUGUUUAAAGAGAGAACUACUUCUCGUGUUUGGUCAGUCCUAGCACAUGUCUCCAUAUGUGUUCACAUUAUUAGUUCAACAUCUCCAUGUCCAUGACUUGUGAAACAUAGUCAUCAACUAAUACAUGUGCUAGUCUAAUAUCCAUGUGUGUCCUCACAUGAACUCCGACUAGGGACAACUUUAGAAUAACCAUACAAGUAAAGAGUUUCACAUACAAUUCAUAUAAUUGCAAAUCAAUUCAAGUAGCCUUUAAUGGAUAUUCAAUGAACACAAUACACAAAUCAUGCAUACAAAUGGAAUAUCAUCAUAUCUAUGAUUGCCUCUAGGGCAUACCUCCAACAUUGAGGAACGUUGGUGUUGCUGGUUCAAUGAACAUUAUCUCAAGAAGGGCGAGCUUCUGGGACCGCUUAGUAUCAGUACCUGGUGUGUCGCCAAAAAUGACAUUGAUGGUGUUGGAUGGGUUUUGGAAUUUGACAUUGUCACCAUCGUCUUCAUCCUCCUUGGCCGUGCCCUUAUCAUUAGUAUCAGAUGGCUUCGGCAGGUCUUUCAUGACUGUAACAAUCCAUCGUAGAGUGCUUGUGGUACGGGUGCCAUGGGCACUGCUUCUUCAAGAGCUCGCUGAACGGGGUCCUAUCUUGAUUCAUGCCGCCACCUUUCUUUUAUGAUGGAGACAUUGCCACGAUAGUAUUGUCUAGCUUUCACUUGCGGUUCUGACCUCCUGAGUAGUUAUUUCGGUUGUCAUUGCUAGGGCGAUCGUUGCAGUUCUUAUUGUUGCAUUGGCCAUUGUUCUAAUUAUUGUUGUUCUGGCACUUGUUGCGAUUAGACUCGAACCUCUCGAUCUCCCUAUCUUCUUCAUCUGCCCAUGCCUGCACCAUGUUCUUAAGAGACUUGACAUCACUAGGGCGUCUUCUCCCAAAGUCCUAGAACAUCCAGCGAUCAUAGAGACCAUUUUGGAAGCAAUCUAUGACAUCGCGCUCCGUGAUGUCCACAAUUGUGGCUUUCUUGUUGAAGAAGCGACGUAAGUAACUGCGCAGGGUCUCGACUUCUUAUUUCUUGACUUGAGACAAGUCAAUCCUAUUGCUAGGAUGCUACAUUGCCCCUGCAUAGUUGUCGGGGAAUGCCACCUUGAGAUCCUUCCACGUGUCGAUGGAGUUCUUAUCUAGUGAUUCGAGCCAUGUGAGUGGCGCUGCCUCCAUGCAGAUGGGGAAGUAAAUGACCUUCGUGUCAUCAUUUCCCCCUGCUGUCUGUAUUGAGAGUAAGUAGCACCGCAGCCAUUGGACUGGGUCUUGCUUGCCAUUGUAGUUGGUGAUACCCGGAGGUUUGAACUUUUCGGGUAGAAUUGUCCUCAUUACACAUCUUGAGAAGGUGGGGGAACUCGUAAGAAUCUUCACCUGGGUACUCAACUUUCUGCUUGUGCUCACAACAACGUUCGUCAAUGAUGGUACGGGUGUCGCGGCCUAUGUUAAUCUUGUUACGAAGAUCCUCAAGCUUUGCGUUGGCCCCACGGUGGCCACAGUCUCCCGAGACUCCCGCCAGACUACCCGCUACUCUAGCUUGUUUUGGUCUAGCGCCUACAAUUUGACUUCGUCUUGAUGGAGUGCGCCUAUGGCUACUGCCAUGUUGACUACGCUGGGAUAUGGUGUGUUGAACUAAAUGUAUCGGGUUUUGCUAAUCAAGUUGUUUGUACGCACACUUUACCAAUUCAGCCAAUUGUCUGGUGUACUUGUCCUAUGGCAUUGCGAGGGUAACAAGAUCAGUGGACGCAAUGGUUGCAAGAGGAGUACGAUGUUGACGCGAUUGAACUGCUUCAAAUGUGUUAUCUAGGUUCAUGAUCAGCAAGUUUGCUACAAGGCGGCGGCGCCGCUCUGCUCUUAUGGUGUUUCUUGCUCAUUGUCGAGUUUUUUGAGCUUUAGUCUCUUCUCCAGCAAUGUUAGCAGUGAGUUCAUCCUACAAGACAUCAUCCGGGUGACGUUCAUGGUGCGGAUUUCUCUCUGGUAGCUCUUCAUCUUCGCCUUCUUGUCCAGCAAUGAGAGUGAAGAGUUCUCAUUCUCAAGAGUAGCUUCCUGAGCUUGACGUGAUGACCUACGUGGAGCUGCCUUGUUCGUAUAUGGGCGACAGAGGAUCUGCCUCUUGGUAUGGGAGGGUGUCAAGGUAGGCGAUAAGGCGUGAAUCAUCGUCCUUAGCGAGAGUGGGUGGCUUCAUGCUUGGCCAGUAGAUGAAUCUGCCUUGUGGAUUCGAUAUGAUUAUCAAGCCCUGCUGUGGAUCUGAUAAAGGGGUCUCCUCAUCCGGGUUCGAGUGGUAGUCGAGCUUCUCGAUCAUAUCCGUGUCGGAUUGCGAUCUAGAUACGGUAGCAUGGUCAAUAGCAACCUGUUUUGGAGUCCGAACAGGAGAUGAUUUGGGUCGUCGUCCAAUUCGCACAAUGGCUUAAGCGGUGACUCGUGAAAAUCAGUCUGACUGGCGGGAGAAGUCGAGUUGUACUCGAACUCGUCCCCCAGCCUCUGACUAAGUCAGAAAUUGAAAUUUUGCCAAAAUUUUUGACGAGAUCGUACAGAGCAUGAUGGCAUGCUGCUUCUUCUCUGGGGCUGGUGCAGUGUGGUGGUAGAAGUUUCCAGCAUCGUCUGCGACGUAAACCUAGGAGCCGAAGAUUAUUGUUGUGCCUACUUCGAAAGUGACAAUUGGCUUGAUGAUGACUUGGGCCAUCGAGUUUGCUAGUGGAUUCUCAGCGAGAGCCCCUACCUGGCGAGCAGUUGUCGGUGUUUACACCCGGCAACCUACCGAGGGGGGUGCCUGAGGUAGUGUUUUGUUAAUGGGGCUUGCUGAGAUCAGGAACUCGAAGGUGAACACAGACACAUGAUUUAGACAAGUUCGGGCUGCUAGAUUGUGUAAUACCCUACGUCCUGUGUGUUGGUUGGAUUGAAUUGCUUUGGAGGGGUCCCUGUCUCGCCUUGUAUUGCCAGGGGUAGGGUUACAGGUCGGUUGAUUUACAAGAAUACUAGUUGGAUUCGACUAGGCGAGUCCUACUCUAAUUGCUACGAGUACUUUUACUUAUCCUCGACUAGUUCCUAUCCUACCAUGUAGACCACGCCGUCCUGCACCGUAGUCUCCAUGUCAGACACGUCUCGGUGUCCAGCCCUGCAUCUAGGACUAUCCAAACCUUCUGGUAGGCUCAUAGAUGUAUGUACGAUACCUCGAUCAACUAGCAUCCGAGAAAUUUGCUUCCCAUCUAUUUUUUUCAUGCGGAACAAGUCGCUAAUGAAAGCUACAAUGCAUGGAUAUGGUCUUCCAUCUACCACAAAUAUACAGGUGGGAAUUAGAUUCAGUACUAACGCUAGCAUUAGUAAAUGCCUGGAGACCCUUUAGUAUUACUUACGAAACACCAACAGUGCUCAUUGCUAAUGUAUAGGCAAAAGGAAAGAAUCUCUUACCUUUAAUAAAAUGUCUCCACGGGGACCAUGCUCCGGUGCAGUACUGCACGUGCAGUGACUACCACUUAUGUGGCCGUGUGGGCCCAUGCGUCAGUAGCAGUUACUGCACGUGCAGUAUUGCACGGGAUCAUUGUCCAUCUCCAUAGGUGAAUUCAAAAGGAAAGAACCUCCUACCUUUCGACCUGCAGUGUAAGUAAGAUGCUAAGUAAGCGAGCUUAGGUGACGUGUUCAUUCUGCCCAAAAAAUCCUUCCCGAGGUUUAAAAUACUUUUUCCGAUAAGUUUUUGGACAAACCAACGUAGAGAAUUCAGCAACCAUCAGCCAAACUAUGGAUGCGUUUAGAAUUCAUUGCUGCAGAUCGAACUGCCUUGGAACUCGCGAGGGUACCUGAUGGAAAUUCCUGUCUGCUUUCACUAUCAACAUGAGCUGGGCAUGGAUGAAGUAUAUGAAUGUUGGAACUUUGGUAUCUGUAACUGGCUCCGAUCAUACAUCACAGUAUACAGUUAGUUAAAUGUUUUUAACUAUAUAUAGCAUUGACUUUGAAAUGAAUGAUCGAGAUCGAACUCUAUAUAGAAAACUAAAAAUUUCGAUCGAUCAGUUCGAAGAUAUUUAUGGAUCAGCUCGAUCAGCGGCUAACAUGUGUACCCUCAACUAUUUUUUUAAGGGAAGGAGUAGAGGUUCCAAGGUCGUUGGAGUGACAUCCACAAACAGCUGUUAUGUAUAACACUGAUGCAUUCAAAACAAAAUAUAAAACAGACAGAGCAAAACAUAUCUCACGGAGCAAGUUCUGUUCCAUGCAGCAGGAACGAAAUAGAAAAUCAUUGCAGCCACAUCUAUAGGCCUCCACCAACUGCAGUCGAAGUCAUCUGCUGGCAUCGCUUGCUCCGUUGAGGACGGACUUAGACUUUUCUCAUCAAUAAUUGCAACCAUUAUUAUCUUAAAAUCUGGAACCACGUAGAAAUAUAUUUUAUGCUUCAUGUGGAAAUGUGGAUCAUUCUACCGCGCCUUCCCUUCACCAAUUCAUCCGAUACUCUCAAAAAGUAGGCCAUCGGAUCAUUCAGUGGGCCUGUUCAGGCUGUAGUCAUCAGAUGAUCUGAUGCCUUUGGCCGACAACCAUUGGAUCAUCUGGUGCUCGAGUUGUACCAAUAAUUGCUCACACGCUUACCCCGGUGCACUGUCAGAUCAUCCGGUUCUUCAUGUUUUUCUAAGUUGAAUACCGCCAUUUGAACACCAUGACUACCGUAACUUGGAUGCUCUAAAAUUAUUUUAUCUCUGAAUUUUUUUUUGUCAUUUGGAUCACGCCAUUGUUUGGUUUGUAUUAUUCGGACCUAUAAAACCUGAAAAGGAAUGGGAAAUGAGGUGGGAUUCGUACUUCAAACCGAUACCCAUGUUUGGCGUGACAUAGGAUAUGGAAUGGGAAUUGUUGGGGAUCGCCCCACAACACACCUUGAACGGCGCUGGCGGGGACCCUCUCUCUCAAUCGACUCCAACCUCAUCACCUUCCCUCCUUACGAAGCUAGUAGAUAACCAAAGUCAACUAUCACGAAGGUGUCCACUCUGUUGUUUUUGCAGGCAAGGACUCGUGAAGUUAAAUCCCACAUGGAGCCCUCGGCGGUUUGGCUUCGGGAAGAUUCCAUGACCAGAAGCCGAAGUUAGCUGACUUCGACCAAGAAGGCGGGAAGUCUGCGGAGGCUCGCUCGGUCUUGACGAAGCUUAUGAAUGCGGAGGAGGGUAAUCAAGACAGCCCCGGGACCACUUUAUAGCAGGACGACUCUGUAAUAAGAAUCUUGUAAAAGGUUGGAUAUGUAAUUCUACCGUGAAAGAGACAUUUUGGGUAGGAAUCAAGUUACUGUCCUGUAUGGAAUAUUCUUAGGAUGUAGUAGUUGAGUAUGGGUAUAACGGGGAUGCGGAAAUGUAACUUUAUGGCCCUAUAAAGGGAGACGAACCGUCCCCCCGGGGAGGGCAUUAAUCACUGAUAGGAUAGCUCUUGUUAUUGUCUGAACGGCCGUUAUCUUCGUUUGUCGGGACGUUCUUACUAUUGCUUGGUUCAACCCCAACAUUUGGCGCCCACCAUGGUCUAACCCGUUAAACAGCCCACGAUGCCACCACAACGGAAAAAGAGACCCGUAGCUCAGAGAGAAGACAACACGGUAGAGGCCGAUCAGCUUAUGGCCUCUGAAGCCACAGAUCAAAUCCUCCCCGACAAGGAGGAACGUCUUGCAAGAGUCGAACAAGCCCUAAGGGCUAAAGCAAUGAGCAACCAGCCCGCAGCCGAAGUCAACCACCAAAGCCAACAACCUGUGGCAAACGAAGCUGCCAACCGCACUGACGGCCGCCAGCCCGCAACACCCGAAGCUACUGGCCCCUCCAACCUAGACAACGAACUGGACUCAGUUCUCCGAGAGAUAGAAGAAGUCAAAAGAAAAAAGGAGCAGUUGGCACGACAAGUGCAGCACCAGAGGGAGGCUGCGGCCAGGCUAUCAAAGCUCAACGAGGCCAGGUGGCAGCUAGAAGCACUACAGAAAGAAGUCGCGGAGCUUGAAAGCCCACUCGAGAAUGCAAACCUGGCCACAGCUUAUUUUUAUCAAAUUCCCACUGUCGAUCAAGCACAGCUCCAGCCCAGCCUCAACUUCGGCCAAGGCACCCAGCACCACUCGUCGGGGGUGUCCCUUGUGGUCGACACCACAUCGCCACUCUCAAUAGGGCUACAAACUGUACCAUGGCCAACAACAUACAAAGCAACCACCUUGCCCAAAUUCAACGGGCGCACAGACCCACGGCAAUUCUUAAUGAGUUACGAAGCCGCUGUAGCUUCGGCCGGGGGGAUGAUGUCGUCCUCGCCAAAUAUUUCAUAAUUGCUUGUGAGGGUGCGGCGUUGAACUGGUAUUCAUUGCUUCCUCCACACACGGUGAUCUGCUGGCACGAUCUCAAGAUGAAGGUCACUCAAAAUUUCCAGGGUUUCCAUCACCCUCACACGGCCCAAGCAGACCUCUUUCAGUGCAAGCAAAAGGACAAGGAACCACUCGCAGAGUAUGUAAGAAGAUACGUCCAACUUCGUUCUCAAGCACCGCACAUUGAGGAAUCUGUAGCAAUAUCCGCUUGCAUCGCGGGCCUAACCCCCGGCCCAACAGCGUCAAAACUGUCAAGGAAGGAGCCCAAAACUAUGACUACCCUCUUCAGCAAACUCGAUGAAUACAUCAGGUCCGACGAGGACCACCGCAGAAGAGUGGCGGAAAGCAACAAAGAGAGACAAACAAACCAAAGCCAAAGCUGGCAACCUUCGCCUUACAACAAGCCUCAAAACCCAAAACAAAACCAAAACCAUAUCAUGAACAUCGAGGGAAACCAAAACCAAAGCUAGAGCCAAAACCAAAACAACAAUACCCAAAGAGGGGGCCACUCUGGCAGAGGACGAGGUCAAGGAAGACAACAAAAGUCAUUUUAUUGUGUCAACCACGGCCAUCAGAAUCAUCACAACACAGAGUGGUGCCCCAAAAAGAAGGAGGAGGAGAGAAAAGCUACGGACGAAGCUACGAAGGCAGCCGCGCAGGCACCCAAAACAAUCCACCACAGAGCUUUUUACCCACACCCAAGCUUCUACCACAACCAGCCCAGCUUCGCCAACUUUCCGCAACCGAUGACUUGGCCUCUUCCACCACAUAUACAGCCGUACCACCAAACAAUUCCACAGCAACCUGCCUCAAAAGCCCCAAGAAACACUACCUCCACCCCCAAGCAUGCCAGCCAUAAUGCCCAAGCCGGAACCCAACACACAAAACAACAACCAAAAUUCCUUGCCUACCUUCGGGAUGAUAAUGCCAAUCAUCGGAGGCUCCUCACUAAAGUUUGAAAACAAGAGGCAGAGGCGGAAUUACUUCAGAGAGGUCAACGUGAUCAUUCCCGAUAGACCUCCAACAAAGCCAGAAUGGGCACACAUGCCCAUAACCUUCACUGGAGAAGAUUUCAAGCUCAAGACAACCUCGCAUAAUGAUGCGAUGGUUAUGAAAGCAUUGAUAGCGGGCUGGACGGUAGGAAAAGUCCUGGUAGACACAGGCAGCUCCGUGGACAUUCUCUUCGCAAAUGCAUUCAGAGAAAUGAACAUUGACAUGAACACGCUCGACCCAGCUGAUGUCCCGCUCCUCGGCUUCGGUGGAAAGCCAGUAAAGGCCUUGGGAAAAAUUGCUCUCCCAGUUUUGUUCGGGGACCGUGAUAAUGCGAGGACAGAACACAUCACCUUUGACGUGGUGGAGAUGCAUUACCCCUACAACGCAAUACUCGGCCGUGGCUUCAUCACCAAAAUGGACGCAACAAUUAGACAGUUGUACCUAUGCAUGAAAAUACCCGCCCUCAGAGGGGUCAUAAUAGUUUACGGUGAUCAGCAAAUGGCAAGGAACAUAGAAAAAUGGGUAGCUCCGGGCCAAAAGAAUGUCCACCAUCUAGCCUCGUCAAAUGAAGCUGAAAGCCCAGCAAAGCAAAAGGCCCAUGACGAGCCUAAGAGAGAUAAAGAGAAGAUAAAAAUCAGUGCGGACGGCGAAACAAAGUGGGUACUCCUAGACGGGUACAUCACAGACAGAUUCGUCACAGUCGGGGCAAACCUCAACCCAGAUGAAGAGCGUGACCUCGUAAAGUGCCUCAACAAGAACAAAGACAUCUUCGCUUGGUCCGCAAGUGAUCUCAAGGGAGUGGACAGGGAAAUCAUUGAGCAUAGCCUCGACAUCAGACAAGGAGCUCGGCCAAAGAAACAGAAGCUAAGAAAAAUGUCUGACAAGAAAGUCCAAGCAGUAAAGGCCGAAGUUGAUAGGCUACUGUAGCCAACAUAAUCAGGCCAAUCCAGUACCCCGACUGGCUAGCCAACACAGUACCAGUUAAAAAGAAAAAAUGGCAAAUGGAGAAUGUGCAUAGACUUCACAAACCUUGACAAGGCCUGCCCAAAAGACGACUACCCUCAUGAAAGAAUUGACAAGGUGGUAGAUGACGCUGCAAACAGCGAAAUGGUCUCGCUACUUGACCUCUUCUCAGGGUACCACCAGAUCAGAAUCAAAAAAGAAGACAAAGGCAAAACAAGCUUCAUAACACCCUUUGGAACAUUUUGCUUCGUCCGUAUGCCAGAGGGGCUAAAAAAUGCAGGCCAAACAUUCUCAAGAAUGACAGCAACAGUCCUGGACAGUCAGCUUCGGUGCAAUAUCCUGGCCUAUGUAGACGACAUCAUCGUAAAGAGCGCCAAACGAAGCGAUCACAUCAUGGACCUCACAAAAACGUUCGCUAACUUGAGGUCAGCCAACCUAAAGCUAAACCCAGACAAAUGUGUGUUCGGAGUCCAAAAGGAAAAAAUUUUAGGUUGCUUGGUAACAACGAUGGGCAUUGAGGCCAACCCGGACAAAAUCAGGGCGCUAGCCAACAUGUCAGAGCCAACCUCACUCAAACAAGUGCAACGGCUCACAGGCAGGGUCGCAGCGCUAAACCGUUUCAUUCCGAGAGCAGCAGAGCGAAGCCUUCCUUUCUUCAAAGCACUCCGAAGCUCCAAAACAUUUGAAUGGGGCCACGAGCAAAGCAAAGCAUUUCAGGACCUCAAGGAGUACCUGCAAUCCAUGAUGAAGCUAUGCCCACCAGAGCCCAAGUCACCACUGCUGUUGUACGUAUCAGCCUCAACAACAGCUGUCAGCACUACAUUGAUCCAAGAGAAAGAAAUCGAAGGCAAAAUCAAACAGAUACCAGUUUACUUCACAUCCGAAGCAUUGAGCAGUUCAAAAAUGCAAUACUCUAAGCUAGAGAAAAUCGCAUAGGCGGUUGUCAUGGCAGCACGGAAGCUACGACAUUACUUUGAGGGGCAUAAAAUAGUCGUAGUAACCAGCCAACUUCUCCAUGAUCUCUUCUCAAACAGGGAAGCUUCCAGCCGUAUCGCCAAAUGGGCGUCUGAGCUCUCGGAGUUCGUCGUUGAUUUUGAAAGGCGCAUGGCUAUAUCUGGCCAUGCAGCCCGCAGCACGAAAGCCCGGCGCGAAGCCCGUAUUUUUAGCCCAUACCUAGCCCGGCCCAGCCCGUAACUCUUCGAACUCGGGCUGGCCUGGCCCGCAUCAUCGUGCCGGACGUGGGCCGUUGCCUCGGCCCGACAGGUGGCACGGCCCGGCACAAAAAUGCUGUCCCCGGCCCGUUACCGGCCCGUCAAGCGAACAGCAGCCCAGCAGGCCGGCCCAGCAACGGUCGGGAGGGGGGCAUAUAUAAGCCCUUCGUGGCAGGCGACGCCCCCCCUUCGCAAACCCUACCCCAUUCUCCCCUCCGCCCGCCACCUCCUCGCCUCCUUAUCUCCUCCGCUGCGCGCCUGCGCUCCAAGCUCCUUGCCUCCUCAGCUCUUCCUGUCCCGGCGACAACCGACGACGACCGGCGCGCCGCCUCCUCGCCUCGACUCCUCCCGUCCUCCGCUCCCGGCUCACCUCCUAAGGCGUCAUGUCCGCGUCCGCGCCUCUGCCUGAGGCCUGACCGCCUCCCUGGCUCCCUGCCUCCCUAGUGCCUUCUGCCUUGCUGGCUUGCCACCGGCACCGGCGCAUCGCCUCUUCACCUCGACUCCUCCGCUCCCCGCUCCUUGACUCCUCCCGUCCUGCCUUCCUGGAUCUGAAUCUACAUCUAGAUCCUCCUGAUCCUUAGAUCUAGAUCCUCCUGAUCCCCUUCUUGUUCUCCUGAUCUUGUUCCUGUUGUCCUCUCCAGCCUGGGCUGAGCCGCUGAGGCAUCGCAGGUAUGUAGAUCCUCCUAAUCCUUUUCUUGUUCUCCUGAUGUAGAUCCUCCUGAUCAUGUUCUUGUUUUCCUGAUCCUCUUCUUGUAGGUAACUAGCUUCUUCUCCUGCUCGGGGCUCCGGCGUCGCAGGUAACUAACUGUCUUCUUGUUGUCCUCCUGAUCCCCUUAUUGUUCUGCUAUCUGCUAAUCCUCUAGUUGUUCCUGAUCUUGUUCUCCUAUUUUUCUUAAAGGUAUCCGUCGCCUCAUCGGGUGCCGCGCGCCGUUGAGUGACGGAGCGGUUGAGGCCUGACACCUGAGGGACGCCCCGACCCCCGGCUGCCGCCUGCCCCAGGAGGUCGUCAUGAUGGAUGAGAACUACACCAUCAACGACGACCUAAGGGCCUGUGGCCUGCCAGGUAACUUCUUUCUGAUCCUCUUCUUGUUCUUGUUCUCCUGAUCAUCUUCUUGUUCCUGUCUUCCUGAUCCUCUUCUUGUUCUGUUCUACCAGGCGAUGAUGAGGACGACCUGGCUGCCGGAGCCGUGCCACUCGUUAGUAGCUCUGUUGCUCCCGUCAAUGUGGAUGCUGCCGGUGCCGGAGGUACUGUUCCACCUUCUACCCCAUCUUCUACCCCAACUAUAUCAGCGGGCACCAGUGUCCGCAAGGGGAAACGGCGAUCUGCUGCCUGGAAUGACUUUGAGGAGUUGUUCCAGGAAGGCACCAACGGGAAGAAGGUAAGGUACGCUGCCAAGUGCCGUCAUUGUUCUCACAUUCUUACUAGCCGGUAUUAUGCUGGUACUGGCCAUUUGCUCCGGCACCAGAAGAUGUGCUUGGCUAAACAAAACCAUUCUUCUCUUGUUCAGUCGCAACUGCAAUUCCAUUCUGAUGGCUCGAUUAUUAAUUGGGAAUACAAGCUCGAUCUUGCUCGCAAAGAAUUGUGCCGGUUGAUUGCUAGACUUGAUCUUCCCCUAGGCUUUGGUGAGACAGAGGCAUUUGUGGAGUACAUCCAGCGUGCUCAUAACCCUCAUUUUGCUAAAGUUUCUAGACAGACCACUUCUAGAGAUCUUGCCAAGUUCUUUGUCGAGCGUCGUCUUUCUCUUCUUGAUACUUUGGAGUCUCAUGUUUUUCUAUUUGUCUUACUUCUGAUAUUUGGUCAGGGAAUGCCAAGGAGGACUACCUUAGUGCUGUUGCACAUUUUGUUUCUGCUGAUUGGGAAUUAGAGAAGAAAGUCAUUGCUCUUAGGUUGAUUGAUUGCUCCCAUUCUGGUGUUAACAUUGCUGAGCGUAUUGAACAAGUUGUUUCUGAGUUUGGUUUACAGGAUAAAAUUUUCUCUAUCACACUUGACAAUGCUUCUGCUAAUACUUCUGCCAUGUCCACACUUAUUCCCAAAUUUGUUGGUUAUCUAGGUCCAGAUCUGAACCUCUUGAUUCUGAUUCUGAUUCUGAUAAAGCACUUGUAGGUCUUUUGCAUCAACGUUGUGCAGGUCAUAUUAUUAAUCUCAUAGUCAAGUCUGGUUUGAAGAGGAUCAAGGCUUAUCUUGAGGCUUUUAGGACUGCAAUCUCUUUUUUGAACUCUUCUAAUCAACGCAUUGCAGCUUUCCAUAACUUCUGCAUUGUCAAGGGGGUACGCCCUCGUAAGUUUGGUUUAGAUAUGGAUGUGAGAUGGAAUUCUACAUAUCUCAUGCUCAAACAUCUACUACCAUAUAAGAAUGUCUUUUCUGUCUUUAUUUCUACUCAUUAUGUGCACAAUGGCCAGCCACUUCUGACUGAAAACCAUUGGGUAAUUGCUGAGAGAAUUUUGCUGUUCCUUGAAAUGUUUUAUGAUUCCACUGUUGCUUUAUCUGGUGUUUACUAUCCAACAAGUCCUUUGAUGUUGCAUCAUAUUAUUGAGAUUGCUGGCCAUUUGCAUGGCCAAGAUUCUGAUCCAUUGCUCAGAAAUAUUAUUGUUCCCAUGAAGCUUAAGUUUCUCAAGGAUUGGCAGAACAUACCUCUGUUGUAUUCCUUUGCAUUCAUUUUGGAUCCUAGAGCCAAGGUGAGAGGUUUUCAUAAUGUUCUCCAACUUCUUUCUCAGACAGUUGGUGUUGAUUACUCUUCUUAUUUUACUGAGGUAAGAACUCAAUUACAUAAGUUGUUUAACAAGUAUGAAAACAAGUUUGGUGCAGUUUGAUCGCAAAGGCCCGCUCAACCUUCAGCUACUACUAGUAAGAAAAGAACAGCAUGGGGUAAGAUCUUUGGUGGUCCUGGUUCAUGUGGUUCUCCUGUUCUUUCAUCUACACCUCCUAUAUCUCCUGCUUCAGAGUUGUCAUCCUACUUGGACAGUGAUACUAUUACUUGCUAUGACGAUGACUUCAACAUACUUAGUUGGUGGCAUGAGCACAAGCUAUCCUAUCCUAUUUUGUCCAUACUUGCUAAAGAUGUUAUAUUUGUUCCAGUUUCCACUGUUUCUUCGGAAUCUUGUUUUAGUCUAACUGGCAGGGUGAUUGAGGAGCGGCGCCGACGGUUGUUGCCGGAGACGGUGGAGAUGCUGACCUGCCUCAAGGAUUGGGAGUUGGGAGAUGCAAGGGCCCAACAUGAUGUUGAGAAGGAGGUCAAUGAACUGGAGGAAACUUACAAAAGCCCCUACCCAGACAUGGAUGAAGGCCAAGCUAGUCAGUAAGUCCAUUACUAACUCAUCUUGUUCAUUUGUUAAACACUUCCAAUUGCAAACACUAAUGUUGUUGGCCUGUUGUGCACCUCUAGGCCUACCCCAGGACCAGGGGCAAGCUGAAGCCUGUUGCCUGUUGGACUUGGAGACUUGGACUGUUGCAGUGUUGCCUGAAUGCCUAUUGGAGUGUUGGUGUUGGCUUGGCGGCUUGGCCAGUUGUUCAACUUCAAAGAUGUUAUGUCUGUGUGUGUGUCUCAAACUCUCAAUGUCUGUAGACUGUAAUGUUGAAUUGAACUAUUCUUGAGCUGGCUGUACUCUUUUUCCCUUCCUAAGGUUUUCUCACAAGCGUGAGUUUUUACCUAGGAAGGUUUUUAAUGAGCCCGCCAACACUUGAUCACAUAGAUCAAGUGUUAACAGCUCUAAUAAUUCCUUUAUUAUGAUUUCUGACUUUCUGUGUCACUGUGUGAUUGUGUCCAUGUGAUGAAUGUGUCAUGUGUGAUUAUGCCAACACUUGAUUAACCUUCUAUUUUGAUUUUUGAAUGUUUGAUAAACUUGAAAUUUUUUGAAUGUGUCAUGUGAUGAAUGUGUCUGUGUUUUUUUCCUCUUGACGGGCUGUGGGCUGGCUCGACCCGUAAAAAUGGCCGGGCUCUUCGGGCCGACCCAGCAUAAAAGUGUUAACGUGACGGGCUAGGCCCGGCACGAAAACGAACAGGCCAUGCCGGGCCCAUGCCGGACCGGGCCGGGCGGCUCGAAUGGACAUCUAUACGCACAGCUAUAAAAUCCCAAGUGUUGGCUGACUUCAUCGUUGAUUGGACCUCACCUAAACAAGAACCAAAGCAGCUAGAAACGCCAUGGGUCGUUCACUGCGACGGAGCAUGGUGCCGCAGAGGAGCAGGUGUCGCAGCGGUGGUCACCUCGCCAACAGGCGUCAGAAUCAAGUACGUAGCGAGGCUGGACUUCCCACCAACUGCGAAGUCAACCAACAACACCACAGAGUACGAGGGGCUGCUCCUGGCCUUAAGAAAAAUGAAGGCCAUAGGGCAGCAAACAUUCAUCAUCAGAACAGACUCGAAGGUAAUCUGUGAUCACAUCGAGAAGGAUAGCGAAGCCAAAGAACCAGAACUCAUCAAAUACCUCCAGGCAGUCCGAGCCAUGGAAAAACAUUUCAAUGGAUUUGAUGUCAAAAACAUACCGAGAGCACAAAAUGACGAUGCCGACAAGCUCGCAAAGGUAGCAGCGGAAGGCGAGCCAAUUCCACCAGAUACAUUCUACAAAGUCAUAACAUCACCUUCAAUCAAAGAAGAAGACCCAGCCACCAUCAACGCCAUCCAGCGUUACGACUGGCGCGCAAGCAUAAUGGCUUUCCUCAGAGGCCACUUUGAACCUCAGAAUGAGGCUGAAUGCACACGCCUAAAGCAAAGAGCAAAGGGCUACGCAAUCAUUGAGGGGCAGCUAUACAAAACAGGCAUCUCAACACCAUGGCUUCGGUGCGUCAACUACGAAAUAUGCAGCGAACUGCUGAAAGAAAUACACGGCAGCUUCUGCGGAGCUCAGAUUGGCUCAAGAGCCCUGGCAGGAAAAGCAAUCCGACAAGGGUUCUACUAGCCAUCAAUCCACACGGACGCACAUCUACUUGUACGAAGCUGUGAAGCAUGCCAAAAAAUAGCAAGGCAAACACAUGCACCCUCACUCCCCAUCCAGCUCAUACCACCCUCGUGGCCUCUCUAGAGAUGGGGGAUGGACCUAGUUGGUCCACUUCCAGCAGCACAAGGAAAUUGCAGAUUCGUAGUGGUGGAAAUAGACUACUUCACUAAAUGGGCUGAAGCCAAGCCACUUGCCGUCAUCACAUCAGCUUCGGUGCAAAAAAUUUUCUGGCAAAACAUUGUCUGUCGGUUUGGAGUCCCAAGGGAGCUAACCGUCGACAAUGGCAAGCAGUUUGAUUACAUCUCAUUCACGGACUUUUGCGCCAGCAUAGGCACGAAGAUAAAAUUCUCGUUCGUAUACCACCCACAAUCAAACGGAGCUGUGGAAAGGGCCAACAACACAAUAUUUACAGUAGUCAAGAAAUGUCUCUUCGAUCAGAAAAAGGGUAAAUGGGUCGACGAGCUUCCAAGAGUCAUAUGGUCCCAUAACACAACAAUAUCCAGAGCAACAAGCUUCACCCCAUUCAAGCUCAUAUUCGGGGCCGAAGCUGUAACACCUGAAGAAAUAAAAAACAAAAGCCUAAGAGUCCUCAAGCAAUCGUCAGAAUAGAGAAAGACAUGAUCGAGCUUGACAUCAACGAGGCCAUUGAGAACCCGGACAAAUACCAAGAAGAAACCCGAAGAUGGAGGGAUCAACGCAUUCGAGAAAGACAGAUCAAUGUCGGUGACCUCGUCAUCAAAAGGAAGAAGAAUUGGGAAAACCCAGGCAAACUACAAGAGGUCUGGGAAGGCCCUUACACUGUCGCAAAGAGUGGCAGACCCGGCUCCUUCCAUCUCACAGACCAACAAGGAAACACUCUCCCACACACCUGGAACAUCGACAGUCUUCGAAAGUACUACCCAUAAUUGUACACGUUACCUCCGACCUGCGGAGCUAUAAGCAGCGCCGAAGGCAACAAAGUGAUUUUACCCACUUCUUUCUCUUUUAAGCUUACCUCAUUUGUAAGGUCAUAGAGUCUGGUCUGCACUCUUUUCCUUGCUAGGGGCUCCAUAAUGGAGGCAAGGUUUUUAACGAGGCAGAUCCAUGUACACCUUUCCUACAAAGAAAGAAAAAAGAUUUCCCCGAAGAAUGUUUUUUGUUUGAGAAAGCAACAACAAGUUGCGUAACCUCGCGCCAGUACGCGGAGGAGUUUUCCGUUUAAGAAAGCAACAACAAGUUGCGUAUCCUCGUGCCAGUACGCGGAGGAGUUUUUCAUUUAAGAAAGCAACAACAAGUUGCGUAACCUCGUGCCAGUACGCGGAGGAGUUUUUCAUUUAAGAAAGCAACAACAAGUUGCGUAACCUCGUGCUAAUGCGCAGAGGAGUUUUUCGUUCAAAGAAAGCAACAACAAGUUGCGUAACCUCGCGCCAGUGCGCGAAGGAGUCUCUCGUUUAAAAAAAAGCAACAACAAGUUGCGUGACCUCGCGCCGGUGCGCGGAGGAGUUUUUCGUUCAUUUCGUUUGAGAAGCAACAACAAGUUGUGUAGAAUCACAUUCAAACACACAAAAAACAAACCUCUCGAAUACAGCCUCGGCAGAUGGGCAACGACGUUUUUUCGAAAGAACGUGGAAAGUUUCUACGACCUCGCAAGAGGAGAAUCUCCAAGCACAAGUUAUCUAACCUCUCUCUCGCAAGGUUGCAAAAGGGGGGGUGACGUUUUUCGAAAACACUUCCAAACACAUCCACUUCCGGAAACAAGUUACCACGCCAACCUCGCACGAGAUCAACCAACGUAAGGUCCAACGACGUGUACAGUUAUGGUUGAAGCAACCACAAGCCGUUGUAUCAACAAGCUCUCACAGCAACUAAGUCAGCAGGUUGCCCGACAUGGCAACCCAACUUCGACUUAUCUAACUUUGCAAUUGGCCCACGAAUAAACGGAACUAAACUACAGCACUUUAAAAAAAAUGCACAGGCACAUGAGUAUUUCAUAAGGCACAACCUCGUACACAAUCAAAAGUAUUUGACCUCAUCACCUUUACAUAAAAAUAAAAAACAAGUCAAUAAAUAAACAAUCUACUCUGCAGCAUCCCCCUCUUCGUUAGUAGCACUAGGCUGCGAAUGAAGCUGAGCUAAUCGCUCACAAGGUAGCCUCUUCACGUAUUCCUGCCCGAAGGUUGACCACAUGCACUCGAAUAAAUUCUUCUUCGCAUUCUCCACAACAAAAGACUUCGUGGCGCAUCCAAUAUCUUGGGCAGCCGGUGCAACAGAAUUGUCCUCGGAAAUAUUUUUAAUAUGCUCGCAUCCUUGUUGCUCCAGCAAGUGAAGGGCGCUUUCCAGGUAGAACACGGCGGAGUAGUCAUUCAGGCCCUCAAGAACCUCGGGGAGACUCUUGACCUCGUCUAGCAACCAUUCGAACAUGCGCUCACAUCCUUCAUCCAAUGGGCAAUCAUCGGGUUCAGUGCCAAACACACCAAGGGAGGCUUUGUAAGCUUCAUGAACUUUUUCGAACCUCUCCCUUAGUGUAGUUUCUAUCUGGCUCAACAACUUUGCCCUCGUUUCUAGCUCAGGCUCCAUCUGGCCAACCUUAGCUUUUAAGCCCGAGAUAACCUCACUAUCCCGCUUGGCACCUUCGCGCAAGUCUUGGAUAACCUUGUCUUUCUCUUUAACCAGCAUCUCAAGAUCCACCACUUCUAAUGACAAGCAAUAGAGCUCGUUUCCCCUGGCCUCGUAAUUUUCGCCAAGUCUGCGAGAGUCCUCUUUCAACUCCGCAUUCUCAAGCUUGACCUUUUUCAUUUCUAGGGACAUAGCUACAAUAGUCGCUUCAAGUGAAGCCACUUUCUUCGCAAGUUCCGCAACUGACUUCUCGCUCUUGGCAAGCCGAUCCCUUGUAAUCAUAGACGAGUAAGAAAUCUGCAAAAUCCAAACAAAGAACAUUAGACCAAGUCGCAGCAGACGCAACAAAGGUAGUGCACAUCACACGUAUCAUCAAAUCGGCCAGUAGCCAUAGCUUCUUUAUGAGGUUGGCCUCCAAGUUCAAAAGCUCCUCCGAGCUCAUACCCUUUACAGAUUGCUGAAAAUCUGUGAGUCAAACAUACAAUUAUAAGUAUACCACAACAGCUACGAAGUCCACAAACAAUAAUCACUCACAAGCGGCCAUUACCUUCGUACCCCCGCGCCUCGACGGCGACCGGACCAAUCUCUUUACCCCUACCCGAAGCCGCCACACCCACUUUCUCCAUCUUCUUCGAACCUCCAGCAUCUGCACAGCGCUUACAAUCCUCACCCUCCUUCGCCCAUUCCAAAAUUAGGUUAUGUGGAUUAUAAACCCUACCUUCGGCGCAUGUCGCUAGAACCUCCGUGCGCUCGCUCAAGCCCAGACCUUCGUUAAGCCCUUGCAGACCAGCCGGCAAUUUCUCACCUACAUCAUAACAUUUAACUUUCAGCCUUACAUGAUCCUCACAACUAACCUCGCCAACCUUCCCCAUAGUUGCCUCCAAAUCCCUCGAAAAUGACGCCGAAGCCCUCCCGCAAUCAAAGAACCGAAGCUUCGGCAAAACCACCUCUACAUGCUUACCAGAUCUAAUAGCCUCGGCACUAGCACCCUUAGGAUCAGACGAAAACGCAUCCACAAGCUUUGCCUUUUCGGCAGCUACCCUCUCCUCAUGCUUCUCGGCUUCAACCAAAAGAGACUGCGCGCCCUUAACCUUUGAGCUUGUGGAAGAAGGUGCAAUCUUGCUGCUGGCCCCCGAAGGCGCAUCGGCCUUGGCACACGGUACAAUAACACGUGCAAAACGAGGUUUGUUAGCCCCUUUUUAAGUCUAAGCAGGAGGGCCUGCGGAUGAAGGUGCAUCAGUAGGAGGACGCACGGAAACAUGCACAACAUAUGCUGGCCUGCUCAAGUCAAUAGACAAAGCCAUCGACCCAGACGGCAGCACGGCAAACGAACCUCCCGCGGUAGCAUCUUUCCUUUUCUGCACUUCCAAGUUAAGGGUUUUUUGCUUCGCCUUGGCGGCUGCUUGUGACUCAACAACAAGCUUCGUCGUGCGAGCAGAAUCAAAUUUCACCUUCUUCCUUUGCUCAGCACCAGCACCCCGACGACGCCUCUUGCCCACAACCUUGGGACGAGGUGGCACUGCGAUGUCAAGCAAGUCAAAAAUCUGAUUAACACACCACCCGUGUCUCACAACAGAUUCGAAAGAGCGCCUUUCGAGCUGGGUCACCGGACCCAAAAUCUCGUAAGCCAUGUCUUCUACUGACUGUACAAACAAGUCCAAGUCGCCAACCUCAUCCUUGUUAAGUUCAAAGCAAGGGAACGGCACAGCUUUCUCGCUCCAAGAUACCUUCUUCUCAACGAGCUUAAGUGGCUUCGCAAAAUCAGCAGACAAAGGCCACGCUCGGGCAGCGACGUACUCCUCCACAAGAUCACGCCCAGAUAUCAAGAGCCCAGCAACCCUGUAAGCAGCUUCGCACUUCAUCACAAUGGCUGUCUGGAUAAAUGAAGGAGUUGUCAGCACGUCCAUCGGCCCAAACUGCGCAUAGAAUGGAAAUCCAGUGCCAAGGCCGGCCAUUUCAAAUUUCACAUAAAACCAAUGCGUCAGCCACGCGCCAUCCCACUUGUUCCUCUGCGCGAAGGUAAGUUCUACCCUCGGCAGAUUCCUCUUAUCGUUCUUCCGACGCGGCACGAAGGUAGAGCAUCCAAAAUGAUUUUCACAAACACCCUUACCAUCAUCAGAAUAAGUCCUCUUCUUCUGAAUGUGAAGCUCAUGUAACCUCGCGAAACCCUCUACAUCAACGCUCCCACCAAACGUGCGUUGCACCCAAUAGAACUUAGACAAGUUCACGAUGGCGUUGGGGGUCAACUAGUGCAGCCUAACACGAUAGCGAUCCAAUAUAACCGGCAGCUGCCUAUCGUAGGGAAACCGAAGCCCCGCAAUAAACAUAUCCCUAAAAACAACAGCUUCGCCGACCUUGGGCGUCGGAACCGCCUCGUUCCCAGGGGCUCUGCCCAUCCCCUUAGGGAAAAAGUUGCUCUCCUCAAAAAGUGUAAUGUGUUGCGAAGUCACCUGGGAGCGCCCAAAAUAAAGAGUAGGAACGCACGGAACCUUCCCCCCGACGGAUGCCUCCGGCCUCACCUCAACCUCAGCAUCCUCCUCCUCCUCCCCCUCAACCUCGUCGGCAUCCUUACCUUCUUCCUCGUCCGAGGAUACAGCAUGAACCUCGGUUCCCCUUGUACCUUUUGAGCCUUGGCCCAUUUCACCUUCACCUUCGCCCCCAUCAGAGGACCAAUCAGGCGAACUGCUCCCCGAAGAUCCCUCUUCUGCAGAAACUAGGCCAUCCUUCGUAUAGAUCUGCUUCUUUGACCUCUUCCCCCCAGACUCUCCACUGCUCGCAGACACCGACUGCGAAGCAGGGCUACCUCCACCACCAGGGGCAACCUGAAGGGCCAACUCCUUCGAAGACAUUGUCUGCAACUCUUCCUGGUGCUAACUGCCACAAAAAUGAAGUCAACACCCCACCAAGAAAACAGAGCCAAUAAAACACAACGAACUGCGCAGUGAAGGCAAAAGUGGCAAAAAAUGCAGCUCGAAAGCGACAGCGUAAAAUAUGGCCCACCCCCCCCGGCAAACCUUAUAUAGGCACAUAAAAACCGCCUCGAACCAUUAACCGCCACAUAAAAAAUAACCUUACUACCCCCAUAUAACGGUGAAACGCCUCAGCCCGCGCCGCCCUUAAGGGUGAUGUUUUGAGGGCGUUUUUGGACUUUUCGCGGGAUCGGUCGAUGGCGCCUCGGACCUCACCCAUGAAGGGGCUACUGUUGGGGACCGCCCCACAACACACCCUGAACGGCGCUAGCGGGGACCCUCUCUCUCAAUCGACUCCAACCUCAUCACCUUCCCCCCUUACGAAGCUAGUAGAUAACCGAAGUCAACUAUCACGAAGGUGUCCACUAUGUUGUUUUGCAUGCAAGGACUCGUGAAGUUAAAUCCCACACGGAGCCCUCGGCGGUUUGGCUUCGGGAAGAUUCCAUGACUAGAAGCUGAAGUUAGCUAACUUCGACCAAGAAGGCGGGAAGUCUGCGGAGGCUCGCUCGGUCUUGACGAAGCUUAUGAAUGAGGAGGAGGGUAAUCAAGAUAGCCUCGGGACCACUUUAUAGCAGGACGACUCUGUAAUAAGAAUCUUGUAAAAGGUUGGAUAUGUAAUUCCACCGUGGAAGCAAUAUUUUGGGUAGGAAUCAAGUUACUGUCCUGUACGGAAUAUUCUUAGGAUGUAGUGGUUGAGUAUGGGUAUAACGGGGAUACGGAAAUGUAACUUUAUGCCCCUAUAAAGGGAGAUGAACCGUCCCCCGGGGAGGGCAUUAAUUGUUGGAGGUAUGCCCUAGAGGCAAUCAUAGAGAUGAUGAUAUUCCAUUUGUAUCCAUGAUUUGUAUGUUGUGUUCAUUGAAUAUCCAUUGAAGGCUACUUGAAUUGAUUUGCAAUUAUGUGAAUUGUAUGUGAAACUCUUUACUUGUAUGGUUAUUCUAAAGUUGUCCCUAGUCGGAGUUCAUUUGAGGACACACAUGAAUAUUAGACUAGCACAUGUAUUAGUUGAUGACUAUGUUUCACAAGUCAUGGACAUGGAGAUGUUGAACUAAUAAUGUGGACACAUGUGGAGACAUGUGCUAGGACUGACCCAACACGAGAAGUAGUUCUCUCUUUAAACAACAUAUACGCUUUGUCCUUAGACCUGAGAUUGUUGCAUGUGUUUGUAGGGAUACGAGGUAGGCUACGCUAGCGUAAAUCAAAAUUUCUACCGCGUAUAACCAGGAAGAACUGCCGUAUAAGGAUCACGGGAUUACCACUCGACGCACUACUGGUGCGGAAGAUGUAGAUAUGCGUCGGUGCAGUGAAGACAAUCACGUAGUCGUACGUAGUCGAUCAACGUAGUCGUACGUAGUCGAUCACGUCCAGCAGCUCCUCAGCAGCUCGUCCACGUGCACAGCAAGAUCGCCUCCGGUGCCGCGGCUCGUCGUCGGCUCGUCGUGGCUCGUCGGCAGCUCGUCGAUGGCUUGUCCAAGUGCUGCAGGCGCAACACCUCCAAGGUAUCCACACGUGCAGGGAGGAAGCGUCGCAAGCCGGACUGCUAGAUCCGCGAGUUGCAACAGGCGAGGGCGUGGGAGGCGCGGCAAGUGUGUUCAGCCAAAAGGUGUGAAACCCUAGGGCGCCCCCACCCCUCUAUUUAUAGGGGUUCCUGAUGGGCCUCUGGAUCCGAGGCCCAUUAGUACUCCUAAACCUAAUCCAACUCGGAUCAAAUCCGAAUUGGGCUUCCAGCCCCUUAAGUGUGCGACCCUUUGGGUUCGGAUACGUAUAGACAUGGCCCGAGUACUCCUACUCGGCCCAAUAGUCGGUAGCGGCCUCUAGCAAGGCGUGCCAACUCCUAUACGCACACGAAGAUCAUAUCAGACGAACCAUCACAACAUAAUAUACAUGCUAUUCCCUUUGCCUCACUAUAUUUGGUCUAGCUUCAAGCCGACCGCUCUUUCUCGAUCCUGUGAUUCGGAAUCCCUUUGUAGGUUAACUCUUAACCGUACGUAGCAUGGCCAUGCAUUUUCGGAUCCGAUCACUCGAGGGGCCCAGAGAUAUCACUCUCAAUCAGAGAGGGGCAAAUCCCUUCUUGAUUGACCAUGUCUCAUAGCAUGCUUCUUGACAAACCCGAAAGCUACCUUUAUAACUACCCUGUUACGGCGUAGCAUUUGAUAGCCCCUAAGUAGGUCGAUCCACAUCUAGAAUACAUGCGACAAUCUCAGGUCUAAGGACAAAGCGUAUAUGUUGUUUAAAGAGAGAACUACUUCUCGUGUUGGGUCAGUCCUAACACAUGUCUCCACAUGUGUCCACAUUAUUAGUUCAACAUCUCCAUGUCCAUGACUUGUGAAACAUAGUCAUCAACCAAUACAUGUGCUAGUCUAAUAUUCAUGUGUGUCCUCACAUGAACUCCGACUAGGGACAACUUUAGAAUAACCAUACAAGUAAAGAGUUUCACAUACAAUUCACAUAAUUGCAAAUCAAUUCAAGUAGCCUUUAAUGGAUAUUCAAUGAACACAAUAUACAAAUCAUGGAUACAAAUGGAAUAUCAUCAUCUCUAUGAUUGCCUCUAGGGCAUACCUCCAACAGUCUCCCACUUGCACUAGAGUCAAUCUAGAAGGUACCUAAUACCCAUAGCUCUUACAUGCGCAUCUUUGCUUAGCCUGCGGGAGUGGUUUUGUCAACGGAUCAGAAAUGUUCAGAUCCGUGUGUAUUUUGCAUAUCUUGAUCUCACCCCGGUUAACGAAGUCUCAAAUGAGAUGAAAUCGUCGCAUUACGUGUUUGUUCUUCUGGUGGUUCCUUGGCUCCUUUGCUUGCGCAAUUGCCCCAUUGUUAUCACAGUAGAGAUUCAAUGGGCUGGACGCAUUCGGGAACACACCAAGCUCAAUCAGGAAAUUCCUUAUCCAAACACCUUCCUUCGCGGCUUCCGAAGCCGCGAUGUACUCGGCUUCUGUCGUAGAAUCGGCCACCGUCUCCUGCUUGGAACUCUUCCAACUAACAGCACCACCAUUUAGCAUGAACACAAAUCCUGAUUGUGACUUUGAAUCAUCUCUGUCGGUUUGGAAACUAGCAUCGGUGUAACCUGUUACAACGAGCUCCUCCUGACCUCCAUAGACGAGGAACAUAUCUUUAGUCCUUCUCAAGUACUUAAGAAUGUUUUUCACCGCUGUCCAGUGACUCUCACCUGGAUCAGAUUGGUGUCUACUUGUCAUACUUAGCGCAUAUGAAACAUCUGGGCGAGUACUUAUCAUUGCAUACAUGAUAGAUCCAAUAGCCGAGGCAUAUGGCACUCUACUCAUGCGAUCCCGCUCAUCAGUAGUCGAAGGACACUGAGUCUUGCUGAGAUGUAUGCCAUGUGACAUAGGCAAGAACCCUUUCUUUGCCUCUUCCAUGCUGAACCGCUUCAACACUUUGUCAAUGUAAGUAUCUUGGCUUAAACCUAUAAGCCUUCUCGAUCUAUCUCUAUAGAUCUUAAUACCCAGAAUAUAUGCCGCUUCCCCUAAGUCCUUCAUCGAAAAACUAUUUUUCAGUGAAGUCUUUACGGACUCAAGCAUAGGAAUGUUAUUUCCAAUCAGUAAUAUGUCAUCCACAUAUAAGAUUAGAAAUACUACAGAGCUCCCACUAACCUUCUUGUAAACACAAGACUCUUCUUCGUUUUUGAUGAAGUCAAACCCUUUGACCACUUCAUCAAAACGAAUGUUCCAACUCCUAGAUGCUUGCUUCAAUCCAUAAAUGGAUCUCUGAAGCUUGCAUACCUUUCCAGCAUUUUUCGGAUCGACAAAACCCUCGGGCUGUAUCAUAUACACGUCCUCAGCUAGGUUUCCAUUCAGGAAAGCUGUCUUGACAUCCAUCUGCCAUAUCUCAUAAUCGAAAUAUGCAGCUAUAGCUAGAAUAAUCCGAAUGGACUUAAGCAUCACUACGGGCGAGAAGGUCUCGUCGUAGUCAACUCCUUGAACUUGUCGAAAACCUUUUGCGACAAGUCGUGCUUUGUAGAUGUGAACAUUUCCAUCCAUGUCCUUUUUCUUCUUAUAGAUCCACUUGCACUCUAUGGCUUUAACACCAUCAGGCGGGUCAACCAAGUUCCAAACUUGAUUGUCUCCCAUGGACUCUAUUUCGGAUUGCAUGGCACUCUGCCAUUUUUCGGAGUCUGGGUCCAUCAUUGCUUCUGCAUAUGUCGCAGGCUCAUCAUUGUCCAACAAUAAUAUUUCUCGCAUUUCGCGGAGCCUUGCUGACCUUCGUGGUUGUGGCGGUGCUUCUCUUGCCAUGGGUAUCUCAACUUGUUCUGCUACGUUAGCAUCACUCAUUGAUUCUUGCCCGAUUGGCUCAUCUUGAACUUCUUCAAGAUGCACUGUCUUUCCACUCUUUUCUCCUUUGAGAAACUCUUUCUCUAGGAAAACCCCGUUCCGAGCGACAAACACUUUGCCUUCUGAUCGGUUGUAGAAAUAAUAUCCCAAAGUUUCCUUUGGAUAUCCCACGAAAAUGCACUUAUCCGACUUGGGUGUGAUCUUGUCCGACUGAAGUCGCUUGACAAACACUUCACAUCCCCAAAUCUUUAGAAAAGACAAACUAGGAACCUUUCCAGUCCACAUCUCAUAUGGUGUCUUAACUACGGAUUUAGAUGGUACCCUAUUAAGUGUGAAAGCUGCUGUUUCUAGAGCGUAUCCCCAAAAUGACAACGGUAGGUCCGACUGGCUCAUCAUUGAUCGAACCAUGUCUAACAAAGUUCGAUUACAUCGCUCGGACACACCGUUUCUCUGAGGUGUUCCAGGCGGCGUAAGUUGUGGAACAAUUCCGCAACUCUUUAGAUGAUUGCUAAACUCGUGGCUCAAAUACUCGCCUCCACGAUCAGAUCGUAAGGCCUUAAUUUUCUUGCCACGCUGAUUUUCAACUUCAUUCUGAAAUUCCUUGAACUUUUCAAAGGUCUCAGACUUGUGCCUCAUCAAGUAGACAUAGCCAUAUCUACUAAAAUCAUCAGUGAAAGUUAUGAAGUAUUGGAAUCCUCCUCUAGCCGUCGUGCUCAUUGGUCCGCAUACAUCACUAUGUACGAGUUCCAACAAGUCUACUGCUCUCUCAGGAAAACCUGUGAAAGGCGUCUUGGUCAUCUUGCCUAGCAAGCAAGCCUCACAUGUCUCGUAUGAUUCAAAAUCAAACGAACUUAGAAGUCCAUCAGAAUGGAGCUUCUUCAUGCGCUUAUCACUUAUAUGACCCAAACGACAAUGCCACAAGUAGGUAGGACUCAAAUCAUUAGGCCGAGGCCUUUUAGCACUUACAUUACAGACAGGUGAACCAUCAAGAUUUAAAACAAAUAAUCCAUUCACAAUGGGUGCAAAAGCCAUAAACAUAUUAUUCUUAGAGAUCACACAACCAUUGUUUUCACUCGCAAAUGAAUAACCAUCCUUCAUCAAACAUGAAGGAGAUAAAAUGUUUCGACUUAAACUAGGAACAAAAUAACAAUUAUUCAACUCCAUAAUAAAUCCUGACGGGAGGUGGAGUUGCAUCGUCCCGACGGUCAAAGCAGCAACUCUUGCAUUAUUGCCCACGCGGAAAUCAACUUCUCCUCUUUCCACGCUUCUACUUCUUAUCAUUCCCUGCAUCGAAUUGCAAAUAUGAGCAACCGAUCCGGUAUCAAAUACCCAAGAAUUAAUAACUGUAUCAGCGAGAAAUAUGUUGUCUAUAACAUAAACAACAAGCGUACCUGAGGUAGAAGUACUCUUACUUCCGCCGUUCUUCAAGGAAGCUAGGUACUGCUUGCAGUUUCUCUUCCAGUGACCAAGUUCAUGACAGUAAAAGCACUCUUUAUCUGGAGCAGGUCCAGCUUUAGCCUUGGGCGGUGGGUUUGGCUUGGACGUUCCAGCCUUGCCCUUCUUCUUCCAAGAAUUGCCCUUCUUCUUAAAGCUGGGCUUGUUCUGUAUCGCCAUCACAUGGCUGGUACUAGCGCUUUUCUUGAUGUCAGCCUCUGCUGUUUUAAGCAUGCCACACAGCUCAUUCAGACCCUUCUCCGUCCCAUGCAUAUGGUAGUUCGAGAUGAAGUUCCCAUAGCUAGCCGGAAGAGAUGAAAGAAUGAAAUCAGUGGCCAACUCUUGGCCCAGUGGGAAGCCUAGCUUCUCCAACCGUUGAGUGUAACCAACCAUCUUGAUUACGUGUGGUCCUACUGCUGCGCCUUCUGCUAGCUUGCUCUCAACAAAGGCCUUAGACACAUUGAACCUUUCAGUCCUGGCCUGUGUUUGGAACAUGUCUCUAAGCGCCAUGAUCAUAUCGUGCGCCUCAUGGUUUGUUUCGAACUGCAUCUGCAGCUCGGGUUCCAUGCAAGCAAGCAUAAGGCAGCUUACUUCGAGGUUAGCAUCACAUGCUUUCUUGUAAGCAUUCUUAGCAGCAGCGGGUGCAUCCUCAGCAGGUUCUUCUGGUAGUGGGUUGUCUAGAACAUCUUCCUUUUUCUCAGCCCUGAGAACAAUUCUCAGGUUGCGGAUCCAAUCCGAGUAGUUUGUUCCAUUCAACUUGUCCUUCUCAAGGACCGAACGCAAAGCAAACGAUGUGGUGGUGUUGCUAGGUGCCAUUUAAUCUACAACAAAAGUAAUGCAAAAUACACUAAGACAAACGUAUCCAUGAUAGAGCAAAUUACAUUAAACUAUUUUAACAGAAUCUACUCCCACUAAAAUCAAUAUCCCUCUAUUGAAACUUAGUGAUUCAGGAUCCACAACUAACAAGUCUACUAGUGAGCUUUAGCAUCACCGCUAGCAAACGAGGUAGAUCGGUAAGCAACUUUUGCUAAUCAUAUCACAUAUGACUCCUGUUGUUGGGUGACAUCUCUAUGUCUCGGCGCCCAACCUUUAUGCCCCAAGGUCCUUAACCGUUAAGAUGACCUCGUUAAGCUAACCAACCCUUAUGCGUGUAAGUGUCCGACACAAACCCGUCUAGUCAAGGAAAACUAGUGGCACCCUAAUUUCAUAGACCCACCACUAAUUGUACAAGACAUGGGACGGUGCAAGUUUUAGUUGGGAGGGCAUACUAACUUAAACUUUGCGAGGGAUCGUUCUACUUCUAACAUCACAGCAUGCAGAAAGUAAAACAUAAACAGAAUAGCAUUCACACAGUUGUGACACAGUAUGGCCCGUUUUUCAUAUGGUGAUCUCCAUCUCCAUAGAACCUGUUCACCAUGGUGAUCUCCAUCUCCAUGUUCCAUGUGCGCCAUCCUCCUGGUGAUGAGUCCUCCAAGAACUAGAGCAUGCUAUUAUGCCUAAUAGCUAGUAAAGAAUCUAGUAAUGAAGAUUACAUAGUUGCUUGGAUCAUCACAGAUUGGCACGCAGACCAUUAAAUACAAUAAAGUGACAACACAUAUGGCUCCUGCCGUGUUGCCGUACGCGCGACACGCAGGUCACGAAUGAGUUACACACAUGCAUCACAUACACAAGGGGCCAUACUGAUCACAAGAUACAUACAUCCUGCAAAAGAGAGUUAGGCGUCCUAACGUUCCAAACUUCGGAGGCCCGAAACUCCAUCUUCCAAGCCGAAUUUGGCAAAUCUAAUUUCGCCGAAAACGGCGAAGCGGUUGAAUUUCAUGUGUAACUUUUUCUGUAGAUCGAUUUUCAUAUAAAAUUCGCCCC
RNAcentral lists this long non-coding RNA (29755 nucleotides) under Setaria viridis. RNAcentral's name for it is "long non-coding RNA (SVIR_LNC008904)". The record is from RNAcentral. Lineage: Eukaryota; Viridiplantae; Streptophyta; Magnoliopsida; Poales; Poaceae.